UGGGGAAUAUUGCAUAAUGGGCGCAAGCCUGAUGCAGCCAUGCCGCGUGUGUGAAGAAGGCCUUCGGGUUGUAAAGCACUUUCAGCGAGGAGGAAGGUGGUGAGCUUAAUACGCUCAUCAAUUGACGUUACUCGCAGAAGAAGCACCGGCUAACUCCGUGCCAGCAGCCGCGGUAAUACGGAGGGUGCAAGCGUUAAUCGGAAUUACUGGGCGUAAAGCGCACGCAGGCGGUUUGUUAAGUCAGAUGUGAAAUCCCCGGGCUCAACCUGGGAACUGCAUUUGAAACUGGCAAGCUAGAGUCUCGUAGAGGGGGGUAGAAUUCCAGGUGUAGCGGUGAAAUGCGUAGAGAUCUGGAGGAAUACCGGUGGCGAAGGCGGCCCCCUGGACGAAGACUGACGCUCAGGUGCGAAAGCGUGGGGCAGCAAACAGGAUUAGAUACCCUGGUAGUCCACGCUGUAAAACGAUGUCGAUUUUGGAGGUUGUGCCCUUGAGGCGUGGCUUCCGGAGCUAACGCGUUAAAUCGACCGCCUGGGGAGUACGGCCGCAAGGUUAAAACUUAAAUGAAUUGACGGGGUC
Molecule: ribosomal RNA, 576 nt
Filed under: uncultured bacterium
Lineage: Bacteria
Description: partial 16S ribosomal RNA
Rfam family: Bacterial small subunit ribosomal RNA
Source: RNAcentral